GGUGGGGUAAAUCCAGUUCGAGAAGUAAAAGACUUGAAAAAGAAAUGCACAAGCAACUUUUUGAGUCCGGAAAAACAGAAUUCCAAGUCAAAUUCUGUUCCAAUUAUCCUGGCCAUCGUGGGAUUGAUGCUGGUCACAGUCGUAGCAGGAGUGCUCAUUGUGAAGAAAUAUGUCUGUGGGGGAAGGACCUCUUGGAAUAGCUCUUCAGAGGAGCUGGACCCAGCAUGGAUGGUGGAACCACAGUACCUCUUACACUCCCUGUGGCUCCAGCUUCGGGAAAUAAAUUUCCCAUUGCGAGGGACCCAGCUCUGUUUCUGCUGCUUCCAUCAAAGCCAAAAGGACCUACACUAAAGAAAUGCAGGGUUUGGGUGGGGAACCCUGAGUACUUUUUUACAAUUGGCUCUGAGAAAAAGGGAGACAUUUUAAAUUCUUUAACUUCUUA
This 442-nucleotide small RNA is filed under the name Pan troglodytes (chimpanzee). Its description in RNAcentral is "processed transcript". Lineage: Eukaryota; Metazoa; Chordata; Mammalia; Primates; Hominidae. The record is from RNAcentral.